GACGAACGCUGGCGGCGUGCUUAACACAUGCAAGUCGAACGGAAAGGCCCUGCUUUUGUGGGGGGCUCGAGUGGCGAAGGGGUGAGUAACACGUGAGUAACCUGCCCUUGACUUUGGGAUAACUUCAGGAAACUGGGGCUAAUACCGGAUAGGAGCUCCUGCUGCAUGGUGGGGGUUGGAAAGUUUGGGCGGUUGGGGAUGGACUCGCGGCUUAUCAGCUUGUUGGUGGGGUAGUGGCUUACCAAGGCUUUGACGGGUAGCCGGCCUGAGAGGGUGACCGGCCACAUUGGGACUGAGAUACGGCCCAGACUCCUACGGGCGGCACCAGUGGGGAAUAUUGCACAAUGGGCGGAAGCCUGUUACAGACACCCCGCGUGCGGGAUGACGGCCUUCGUGUUGUAAACCGCUUUCGCCUGUGACGAAGCGUUAGUGACGGUAAUGGGUAAAGAAGCACCGGCUAACUACGUG
RNAcentral lists this ribosomal RNA (468 nucleotides) under uncultured bacterium. RNAcentral describes it as "partial 16S ribosomal RNA". It matches the Rfam family "Bacterial small subunit ribosomal RNA", at positions 28 to 507 of the family's 1533-position model. The record is from RNAcentral.